UUUUUACUUUCUUAUGCUCUAUACUCUAUUUGCUCCCUAUCCGGUGGAGUUGGAAGGGGCACGAGGUACUACCACUAGCCUCCCUCUUGUGCCGUCCCUAAUAUACCCUACACCGAAUAGUUGGAUCAAAUAGUGCCGGGUACUACCACUAGCCUCUCCAUUGGCACCAUCCCUAUGAUGAGCAAUAUAGAAAGGUUAAAAUGUUUACUUCAAACUCUCCCUGUUUAAGUGUAAUUAAUUAUGGAUUUUAUCCCUUCCAAAAGAAUGCUCACACAAGUCUCACAAAUGUGCCGAAUAUAUUAUGCUUGUUUUGCUUUUCCUUAAGAUUGAAGUAUUUGCCUUUACUUAGAUUUUACUUCUCUUGAAUAAUAUCCAUUUUUUUUCUUUAUCUCUCUCUCUUUUUGUUAUUCUCAAGUAAUUUACAUGAGCAGAAUAAAGAAAUAAUCUUAUGUAUCAUAUAGAUGUAUAUCAUGCAA
RNAcentral lists this long non-coding RNA (476 nucleotides) under Phoenix dactylifera (date palm). Its description in RNAcentral is "long non-coding RNA (PDAC_LNC021636)". The record is from RNAcentral. Lineage: Eukaryota; Viridiplantae; Streptophyta; Magnoliopsida; Arecales; Arecaceae.